Oncorhynchus tshawytscha (Chinook salmon) is the source of this 2922-nucleotide long non-coding RNA. Lineage: Eukaryota; Metazoa; Chordata; Actinopteri; Salmoniformes; Salmonidae. The record is from Ensembl.
CGAUAAACAGCCUUUCAUAGAGACAUCAAAAAGGCUUUCAACUGUGAUGAUCUUUCUAACUUAACGAUUUCUAAAUAAAGUGAGGUGUGGAAAACAUGGAAACCGCAGGGUUGUAGACAGCAUCUCACAAAUGAAGAAUCACAACAACAACAACAAACGGAAUCACAACAACAAACGGAAUCACAACAACAAACGGAAUCACAACAACAACAAACGGAAUCACAACAACAACAAACGGAAUCACGACAACAACAAACGGAAUCACAACAACAACAAAAGGAAUCACAACAACAAACGGAAUCACAACAACAACAAACGGAAUCACAACAACAACAAACGGAAUCACAACAACAACAAACGGAAUCACAACAACAAACACAAAAAAGAAGCAUCCUCUGAAUGUAAUUCAACUGAAAAUUGAAUCUCUCCUGUAUCUGAGACCAGGGUGUCUCUUAUCACUCCUGUAUCUUGUCAGACAGGGACAGACAAGAGUAGGAGGGACAGAGAGAGACAGACAAAGACAGACAGAGACAGGAGGGACAGACAGGGACAGACAGAGACAGGAGGGACAGGCAGGGACAGAUAAGGACAGGAGGAGCAGACAGGGACAGGAGGGACAGACAGGGACAGACAGGGACAGAGAGGGACAGACAGGGACAGACAAGGACAGGAGGAACAGACAGGGACAGGAGGACAGACAAGGACUGGAGGAACAGACAGGGACAGGAGGGACAGACAGGGACAGGAGGGACAGACAGGGACAGGAGGACAGACAGGGACAGGAGGAACAGACAGGGACAGGAGGGAAAGACAGGGACAGGAGGGACAGACAAGGACAGGAGGAACAGACAGGGACAGGAGGGAAAGACAGGGACAGGAGGGACAGACAGGGACAGGAGGGAAAGACAGGGACAGGAGGGACAGACAAGGACAGGAGGAACAGACAGGGACAGGAGGACAGACAAGGACAGGAGGAACAGACAGGGACAGGAGGGACAGACAGGAACAGGAGGGACAGACAGGGACAGGAGGGACAGACAGGGACAGGAGGGACAGAGAGGGACAGGAGGGACAGAGAGGGACAGACAGGGAUGGGAGUGUUACACAGGGACAGACAGGGACAGGAGGGACAGACAGGGACAGACAGAGACAUGAGGGACAGACAGGGACAGGCAGAGACAGACAGGGAUGGGAGUGUUACACAGGGACAGACAGGGACAGGAGGGACAGACAGGGACAGGAGGGACAGACCGGGACAGGCAGAGACAGACAGGGACAGACAGAGACAGGAGGGACAGACAGGGACAGGAGGGACAGACAGGGACAGACAGAGACAGACAGAGACAGGAGGGACAGACAGGGACAGACAGAGACAGGAGGGACAGAGAGGGACAGACAGAGACAGGAGGGACAGAGAGGGACAGACAGGGAGAGGAGGGUUACACAGGGACAACAAGGACAGCUUAGUGGUUAGAGUGUAGAGGUGGCAGGUAGCCUAGUGGUGGCAGGUAGCCUAGUGGUUAGAGUGUAGAGGUGGCAGGUAGCCUAGUGGUUAGAGUGUAGAGGUGGCAGGUAGCCUAGUGGUUAGAGUGUAGAGGUGGCAGGUAGCCUAGUGGUUAGAGUGUAGAGGAGGCAGGUAGUCUAGUGGUUAGAGUGUAGAGAAGGCAGGUAGACUAGCGGUUAGAGUGUAGAGGAGGCAGGUAGCCUAGUGGUUAGAGUGUAGAGGAGGCAGGUAGCCUAGUGGUUAGAGUAUAGAGGUGGCAGGUAGCCUAGUGGUUAGAGUAUAGAGGUGGCAGGUAGCCUAGUGGUUAGAGUGUAGAGGUGGCAGGUAGCCUAGUGGUUAGAGUGUAGAGGUGGCAGGUAGCCUAGUGGUUAGAGUGUAGAGGAGGAAGGUAGCCUAGUGGUUAGAGUGUAGAGGUGGCAGGUAGCCUAGUGGUUAGAGUGUAGAGGUGGCAGGUAGCCUAGUGGUUAGAGUGUAGAGGUGGUAGGUAGUCUAGUGGUUAGAGUGUAGAGGUGGCAGGUAGCCUAGUGGUUAGAGUGUAGAGGUGGCAGGUAGCCUUGUCUCAGGAUGUUAAGUUGGUGGUUGAAGAUAACCCUCUAGUGGUGUGGGGGCUGUGCUUUGGCAAAGUGGGUGGGGUUAUAUCCUGCCUGUUUGGCCCUGUCCGGGGGUGUCCUCGGAUGGGGCCACAGUGUCUCCUGACCCCUCCUGUCUCAGCCUCCAGUAUUUAUGCUGCAGUAGUUUAUGUGUCGGGGGGCUAGGGUCAGUUUGUUAUAUCUGGAGUACUUCUCCUGUCUUAUCCGGUGUCCUGUGUGAAUUUAAGUAUGCUCUCUCUAAUUCUCUCUUUCUCUCUUUCUUUCUCUCUGAUGACCUGAGCCCUAGGACCAUGCCUCAGGACUACCUGACAUGAUGACUCCUUGCUGUCCUCAGUCCACCUGGUUGUGCUGCUGCUCUAGUUUCAACUGUUCUGCCUGCGGCUAUGGAACCCUGACCUGUUCACUGGACGUGCUACCUGUCCCAGACCUAAUGUUUUCAACUCUUAAUGAUCGGCCAUGAAAGCCAACUGACAUUUACUCCUGAAGUGCUGACCUGUUGCACCCUCUACAACCACUGUGAUUAUUAUUAUUUGACCCUGCUGGUCAUCUAUGAACAUUUGAACAUCUUGGCCGUGUUCUGUUAUAAUCUCCACCCGGCACAGCCAGAAGAGGACUGGCCACCCCUCAUAGCCUGGUUCCUCUCUAGGUUUCUUCCUAGAUUCUAGCCUUUCUAGGUAGUUUUUCCUAGCCACCGUGCUUCUACACCUGCAUUGCUUCUUUUAGGCUGCGUUUCUGUACAGCACUUUGAGAUAUCAGCUGAUGUAAGAAGGGCUAUAUAAAUACAUUUGAUUGGAUAGACAGGGACAGGAGGGACAAGGACAGACAGGG